RNAcentral lists this ribosomal RNA (253 nucleotides) under uncultured bacterium. Its description in RNAcentral is "partial 16S ribosomal RNA". It matches the Rfam family "Bacterial small subunit ribosomal RNA", at positions 524 to 776 of the family's 1533-position model. The record is from RNAcentral.
UACAGAGGUCCCAAGCGUUGUUCGGAUUCACUGGGCGUAAAGGGUGCGUAGGCGGCCGGGUAAGUCUGAUGUGAAAUCUCACAGCUUAACUGUGAAACUGCAUUGGAUACUAUCCGGCUCGAGGAAUGGAGGGGAGACUGGAAUACUUGGUGUAGCAGUGAAAUGCGUAGAUAUCAAGUGGAACACCAGUGGCGAAGGCGAGUCUCUGGACAUUUCCUGACGCUGAGGCACGAAAACCAGGGGAGCAAACGGG